GUCAGUGGCGGACGGGUGAGUAUCGCGUAGGAAUAUGUCCGGAGGUGGGGGACAACCCUGGGAAACUGGGGCUAAUACCGCAUAUGAGCUGAGGCUCAAAGCCGUAAGGCGCCUUUGGAGUAGCCUGCGUCCGAUUAGCUUGUUGGUGGGGUAAAGGCCUACCAAGGCGACGAUCGGUAGCUGGUCUGAGAGGACGACCAGCCACACUGGGACUGAGACACGGCCCAGACUCC
This 233-nucleotide ribosomal RNA is filed under the name uncultured bacterium. Its description in RNAcentral is "partial 16S ribosomal RNA". It matches the Rfam family "Bacterial small subunit ribosomal RNA", at positions 91 to 339 of the family's 1533-position model. The record is from RNAcentral.